Molecule: ribosomal RNA, 492 nt
Filed under: uncultured bacterium
Lineage: Bacteria
Description: partial 16S ribosomal RNA
Rfam family: Bacterial small subunit ribosomal RNA
Source: RNAcentral
AGUGAACGCUGGCGGUAGGCCUAACACAUGCCAGUCGAACGGCAGCACAGUAAUAGCUUGCUCUUACGGGUGGCGAGUGGCGGACGGGUGAGGAAUACAUCGGAAUCUACUUUUUCGUGGGGGAUAACGUAGGGAAACUUACGCUAAUACCGCAUACGACCUACGGGUGAAAGCAGGGGAUCUUCGGACCUUUCGCGAUUGAAUGAGCCGAUGUCGGAUUAGCUAGUUGGCGGGGUAAAGGCCCACCAAGGCGACGAUCCGUAGCUGGUCUGAGAGGCUGAUCAGCCACCCUGGAACUGAGACACGCUCCAGGGUCCUACGGGAGGCAGCAGUGGGGAAUAUUAGACAAUGGGCGCAAGCCUGAUCCAGCGAUACCGCGUGGGUGAAGAAGGCCUUCGGGUUGUAAAGCCCUUUUGUCGGGAAAGAAAAGCAGCAGGUUAAUACCCCGCUGUUCUGACGGUACCCAAAGAAUAAGCACCGGCUAACUUCGUG